UCCCUCUUAGCUCAGGGGUAGAGCGCAUCACUAGUAAUGAUGAGGUCAGUCGUUCAAAUCGGCUAGCGGGAA
Molecule: non-coding RNA, 72 nt
Organism: Flammula alnicola
Lineage: Eukaryota; Fungi; Basidiomycota; Agaricomycetes; Agaricales; Strophariaceae
Source: the annotation of a GenBank genome assembly